RNAcentral lists this ribosomal RNA (478 nucleotides) under uncultured bacterium. RNAcentral describes it as "partial 16S ribosomal RNA". It matches the Rfam family "Bacterial small subunit ribosomal RNA", at positions 28 to 507 of the family's 1533-position model. The record is from RNAcentral.
GAUGAACGCUGGCGGCGUGCUUAACACAUGCAAGUCGAACGGGAAACCUUUUAAUGAAGCUUCGGCAGAUUUAGCUGGUUUCUAGUGGCGGACGGGUGAGUAACGCGUGGGUAACCUGCCUUAUACAGGGGGAUAACAGUCAGAAAUGACUGCUAAUACCGCAUAAGCGCACAGGACCGCAUGGUCCGGUGUGAAAAACUCCGGUGGUAUAAGAUGGACCCGCGUUGGAUUAGCUUGUUGGUGGGGUAACGGCUCACCAAGGCGACGAUCCAUAGCCGGCCUGAGAGGGUGAACGGCCACAUUGGGACUGAGACACGGCCCAGACUCCUACGGGAGGCAGCAGUGGGGAAUAUUGCACAAUGGGGGAAACCCUGAUGCAGCGACGCCGCGUGAAGGAAGAAGUAUCUCGGUAUGUAAACCUCUAUCAGCAGGGAAGAUAGUGACGGUACCUGACUAAGAAGCCCCGGCUAACUACGUG